CAACUAUAUCACGUUGAAACACCAGUUCUGGUACGAUUACCGAAGUUAAGCAAUGUCACGCUUGGUCAGUAUUUUGAUGGGUGACAGUUUGGGAAUAUCAGGUGCUAUA
Molecule: non-coding RNA, 109 nt
Organism: Acanthosepion pharaonis
Lineage: Eukaryota; Metazoa; Mollusca; Cephalopoda; Sepiida; Sepiidae
Source: the annotation of a GenBank genome assembly